CCACCCCCCACCCCCACCCCUAGCUCUCCGGCAGAUUCAAACCACCCUCAGAACUCCAUCCGGGACAUCACCCAGAAGGACUAAUAACAAUGGACUCAUGGACUGCUGAGGCUGAGACCAGGAACCUAAAUAAACCUUUCAGACCUUAAGAUGAUUUUUUUUCCUGAUAUUUUUUUCACAACAAUGAAAGACCACUGGAAUGUCCUCUGCACCUAGGCAUCCUCCAUCUUUGUCCUGAAGAGAAUACUAGAGUGGACCCAUUACAUUGGGCUUCCUGACACCAGACGUUCCAGGCUUGCUUUGGAGACAAAUCACUGAGGUCCAUGGCAAGUACAGAGUGGAGUUCAAAUCUGCUCUUUGAGAAGAGAGGCCCAGAAGAGAGUGGAUUCUUGAAGCCCCAUGGAGGGCUAGCUACAUUUUACCUGGAGACAAGAUAAUCUGAGGGGUGAAGCCAGUGAUGCAGAGCACCAAGACUCAGAAGAUGAAUAUUGUGCCUGCUUUGGCGAGACAUGGUUCAGACUCAGGAGUAUGUAAUGAUAAUAAAGAGAAGAUAUGAUGAUA
Molecule: long non-coding RNA, 561 nt
Organism: Mus caroli (Ryukyu mouse)
Lineage: Eukaryota; Metazoa; Chordata; Mammalia; Rodentia; Muridae
Source: RefSeq, a predicted model, not a curated record